Molecule: transfer RNA, 72 nt
Filed under: Sphaerodactylus townsendi
Lineage: Eukaryota; Metazoa; Chordata; Lepidosauria; Squamata; Sphaerodactylidae
Description: tRNA-Ala
Rfam family: tRNA
About the family: Transfer RNA (tRNA) molecules are approximately 80 nucleotides in length. Their secondary structure includes four short double-helical elements and three loops (D, anti-codon, and T loops).
Source: RNAcentral
GGGGCUGUGGUUCAGUGGUAGAGCAUCUGCUUGGCAUGCAGAAGGUCCCAGGUUCAAUCCUCAGCAUCUCCA